Molecule: long non-coding RNA, 600 nt
Filed under: Athene cunicularia (burrowing owl)
Lineage: Eukaryota; Metazoa; Chordata; Aves; Strigiformes; Strigidae
Description: lncRNA (ENSACUG00000014126.1)
Source: RNAcentral
CCUCUCUGAGUUGGAGGAGGGGACGCUGAACCGCGUGCUGCUGCUGCAUUCAGUGAUGUCCAGCAUGCUCCGGCCCCACAACAGCCCAUCUCUGGAUGUAAGUCAGCAUCUGGAUCUAAAUAAAGAUGAGGUCAGAAAGGGCCUACCUGGGAACAUGAAGGAUCUUCCCUGGGGGGUGAAGUUUGACAUUCCCUCCAUCACCCUGGAGUCAGACAGUGGCAGCUGCAGAUCAUCUAAAAUGUCACCCUGUAGGAAGGAGGGAUCUCUGGAUAACCACCUCAGCCCAACUUUCUCUGGUUUGCCAAAAACCCCAGGUCAGCAGCAGAAACCAACAGGUAUUACUGCAGGAAAGAUGACUCCCAGGCUGCGUUCCCCCACGUCUCUAGACUUGCAUGGGAAAAAGUCACCUCCAGACAGUGCUGCUGUUCCACUGAGUCUGGAGACCUUGGAGGAAAUUGCUGCCAACACCAAAAGCAUCUCCCUCGUUGCAGCCAGUCGCCGUUCCAGAGCCCAACACAGAGAUCCUGGAAGCAAAGUCUCUUCAGCCCACUUCCCUGAGGAGGACAUGCUUAAGCAGAAGUAUCUGGAGGCCAGUUCCAC